Molecule: unclassified non-coding RNA, 746 nt
Filed under: Hevea brasiliensis (rubber tree)
Lineage: Eukaryota; Viridiplantae; Streptophyta; Magnoliopsida; Malpighiales; Euphorbiaceae
Source: RNAcentral
AAAGUGGAGAAAGUAGGAGUGGAGGGGGGACGAGUUGACUCGGUGGUGCUGGAGGGGGGACAAGUUAUAAACUCGGACGCUGUGGUUUUGACGCUUGGGCCAUGGUCUGGUAAAUUUGAGAUGCUGAGUUCGUUAUUUAGAGUUUAUGGUCUAAAGGCCCACAGUAUAAUUUUGGAGCCUAAAGAGCUUGGAGCUAUAACGCCCCAUGCACUGUUUCUGAGCUAUUAUCCGGCUCAGGGAGGAAGGCCCAUGAACCCUGAAGUCUACCCUCGUCCUACAGGGGAGGUGUACUUGUGUGGAAUGUCAUCGGAGGUGGAAGUUCCAGACGAUCCAGAGGAGAUAGUGGGUGACCCAGAGUCGAUACGAGUGCUGAAGAGGGUGGCCACGACUGUUUCUAGCCAUUUAGCAGAAGGGGAGGCACGAGUCAAGGCAGAGCAAGCAUGCUUCUUGCCCUGCACCGAUAAUGGUAUUCCUGUAAUAGGGGAGAUUCCUGGGGUACGGGGCUGUUAUGUGGCCACUGGACAUAGCUGUUGGGGUAUUUUAAAUGGUCCUGCUACUGGGGCAGCAAUGGCUGAGCUUGUGGUAGAUGGAAAAUCUAGUAUUGUUGAUCUUUCUAAGUUUAGCCCUUCCAGAUUUGUGAGGCUUGGAAAGAGGUAGAUGCAAAUAAUUGUACAUGAUGUACAAUCAUAACUAGAUUGGUGAAUUAGCAAAUAGAGUUGUGUUUAUCAUUUUUGUAAAAAAAAAAA